Molecule: long non-coding RNA, 2228 nt
Filed under: Triticum aestivum (bread wheat)
Lineage: Eukaryota; Viridiplantae; Streptophyta; Magnoliopsida; Poales; Poaceae
Description: long non-coding RNA (TAES_LNC011096)
Source: RNAcentral
UCUAAUUGCAGUCGAGGGGAUAUGUGAUAACUUGAAACUGAGCACAGAACGUUCUUUCUUGGUUUGCAUUUGGUGUAACCCCCCUUGAUUGUUCUUUUUCCUCUGUCUUAUAAUCCUCUGAUUGUCAAUCCAGUCAUAUAUUGAUGAUGUAUUGAUCAUUGGUUAUCAGAAGUUUUCUACACAUUGCUGCUGGGUAGAGCAUCUAUUGCAACUACAAUUGGCGAUAUCUACACAGAUCUAUACAUAAAAGAUAAGUAGGAAGUAAGCUUCUAUAGUGUGACGUAGAGGUAUUGGCCAUACACCAUGAAUGAUAGAGGCUGUGCAGCUGAUAUUCAUAGUUUAAUUACUUUUUCCUCCAAAGAGAUACAUAUUUUUAGCUAUAAUGUGUUAGCUUGCUGACAGUACAUCGAUAUAUUCUCCAAUCUGGUUCAACUAUGCCUAUACUCUUUAGUUUUAUGUUGAUGUUUACACUCUUUCUUCUGGUCUGGAGUCUUGUAUUUUUUUUCUGAGGUGUGUACUUCACUUUUAUGUUGUAUACACAAGUAUUUUCAGAUAAAUAAAAGCAAGAACAUUAGAGAGCAUGCAGGGCCCUGAAUUUGGAGAAUCUAGGCGUAUAUCUGUACAAUAUUAUUGAGGUAAUUUUGAAUUUCUGAAGCUUGGUCUGGGCUUAUGGUGCUUAGUUUUUCAGUGGGUUUUGCCGAGCAACUGAAAUUUCCAACUACUUCUAUUAGCAUUAUUGCACCUGAUCAUGGCUGAUUCUGCACUAUUCCCCUUCCUUGAUCUAUUCGUGACACAUCUAAAUUCAUUUGUGGAUCCUUACUCUGUAGUACGGGGACCCUGAGGUCCUUGGAGCCACACACGUUGCCACAUGUUAAUUAUCUUAUCGAUUGGCGUUAGUAGGAGGUAUCGAAUAUAGAUGGACUAUCUUCGUUAUUGAAUUGGCGUUAGUAAGAGGUAUUGAAUGUAGAUGGGCUAUCUUGGUUUUUGAAUGCUAGGUUGUCGGGCACUCGGGAUGAUGAUGUAUGGCCAGGGGUAGGCAAGCUCCCAAACUUGCACGAGUACCCUGACUUUUUUUUUGAGAGUACCCUCACUGGAACUUCUCAAAACUGUCUACUGUAUUAGUCUUGACGCCAAUGGUCUUGAUCUGCUUGAGUUUAUAGUAAUCAAACAUGUGUAUCCGACUAUUCGUGCUACUUGAUCCUUGCAGAAAAACAGAGAAGAAGAGGGGCUCUUGUAAGAAUCUUGUACUAACUUAUGGCUGUGAUCCUUGAGAAAAUGCGGCAGUAAGGACAAGCCAACAAAGAGGAUCUCUGCAAUGAAAGGUCAUGGAGCACCCAUAUUUUCAAUGAUGUAGACUAAGGCGCUGUGUUGGAGCUGUCUUCGUGACUAGCAAGAAGUGGAUAUUGCAGUUUGUGUUUGUCCUGAAGCAUAUUUUGUGCUUCCAGGGCAGGCAUUUUUGCCUCUGUUUUUCUAGCUGCCAUUUAGUUUGCGCCAGUAACCUAAUAUUGUGAUGGAUAAUAUCUAUGGAGUUGUGCAUAAUAAUUCUGGAGUGCCACUUCUUUUUUGUAGCUAGCAUGUAGCCCAUUAAAUUCCAGCCUAGUUCGUAGCAGGUUUGAGUAGAUAUGUAACUCACUGUAGAACGGUAUUCACGCUAAGAUGCCUGUUUAGAAUGGAAAAGAUGGCUAUUUUGUUGCAGGUUUGAGCAAACUAAUUGUAGCCUAUUAUCCCCAUUAGGGCUGUAAGCUGUAGGAAGAUGAGGACUUCAAUCUUAAUAAUGGCAAUCUGGUUCAAGAAUAAGACAGUACUUCAAUCUUAAUAAUGGUGGUACAUGGUGGUUUUAUGAGAUGUUCGUGUACAUUCUGGUGAUGGCCUAAUGUUACCUGAACAUCAUUUGUGCAUUUGAAAAGUUCAUCCAUUAAACUUACCAAGGAAAUAACUUGCAGUCCCUCAGCCUACUUUCUAAUUUGAUUUAUGGUAAGUCGAGUUAUCUAUAUUAUUAAACACAAUUUUCCUUUUCACAGGUUGGUUGAUACAUGUAUGCACAUUUUUCAGAGCAACGUGCAGUGGAAGAAGCAGCCUGUGAACUGAAAUAGUUUGCAUUGGAAACAAGUGCUGUGAGUAUGUUAUCAUUUGAUUACACAUAAUCUGUACAACCCCUGAAGUAUUUUCCAUAGUUCUCUUUGGAAUCCUUUUCUUUUUUGAUGAAACACAAGUGCCCCAAAACUGAU